CCUACGGGAGGCAGCAGUGAGGAAUAUUGGUCAAUGGACGAAAGUCUGAACCAGCCAUGCAGCGUGAAGGAUGACGGCCCUAUGGGUUGUAAACUUCUUUUAUACAGGAAUAAAAGGAGGUACGUGUGCCUGUUUGCAUGUACUUUAUGAAUACGGAUCGGCUAACUCCGUGCCAGCAGCCGCGGUAAUACGGAGGAUCCGAGCGUUAUCCGGAUUUAGUGGGUUUAAAGGGAGCGUAGAUGGGAGGGUAAGUCAGGUGUGAAAUGUGGCGGCUCAACCGUAAAAAUGCCUUUGAUACUGGUCGUAUAGAGUGCAGUUGAGGGAGGCGGAAUGUGUGGUGUAGCGGUGAAAUGCUUAGAUAUCACGAAGAACCCCGAUUGCGAAGGCAGCUUACUAAACUGUAACUGACGUUGAUGCUCGAAAGCGUGGGUAUCAAACAGGAUUAGAUACCCCUGUAGUC
This 460-nucleotide ribosomal RNA is filed under the name uncultured bacterium. RNAcentral's name for it is "partial 16S ribosomal RNA". It matches the Rfam family "Bacterial small subunit ribosomal RNA", at positions 338 to 795 of the family's 1533-position model. The record is from RNAcentral.